AACGAACGCUGGCGGCGUGCCUAACACAUGCAAGUCGUGCGAGAAAGUUCCUUCGGGAGCGAGUAAAGCGGCGCACGGGUGAGUAACACGUAGGUAACCUGCCCCCCAGUCUGGAACAACUAGAGGAAACUCUAGCUAAUGCCGGAUGAGACCACGAUCCCUUCGGGGGUUGCGGCCAAAGAUGGCCUCUACUUGUAAGCUAUCGCUGAGGGAUGGGCCUGCGGGCCAUUAGCUUGUUGGUGAGGUAACGGCUCACCAAGGCUGUGAUGGCUAGCUGGUCUGAGAGGAUGACCAGCCACACUGGGACUGAGACACGGCCCAGACUCCUACGGGAGGCAGCAGUGGGGAAUAUUGCGCAAAUGGGCGAAAGCCUGACGCAGCGACGCCGCGUGGGU
RNAcentral lists this ribosomal RNA (395 nucleotides) under uncultured bacterium. RNAcentral's name for it is "bacterial SSU rRNA". It matches the Rfam family "Bacterial small subunit ribosomal RNA", at positions 29 to 406 of the family's 1533-position model. The record is from RNAcentral.